RNAcentral lists this ribosomal RNA (274 nucleotides) under uncultured bacterium. RNAcentral describes it as "partial 16S ribosomal RNA". It matches the Rfam family "Bacterial small subunit ribosomal RNA", at positions 523 to 796 of the family's 1533-position model. The record is from RNAcentral.
AUACGGAGGGUGCAAGCGUUGUCCGGAUUUAUUGGGUUUAAAGGGUGCGUAGGCGGCCCGUUAAGUCAGUGGUGAAAGGUAUCAGCUUAACUGAUGAAGUGCCAUUGAAACUGAAGGGCUUGAGUACAGACGAGGUAGGCGGAAUUUAUGGUGUAGCGGUGAAAUGCAUAGAUACCAUAAAGAACACCGAUAGCGAAGGCAGCUUACUAGACUGAGACUGACGCUGAGGCACGAAAGCGUGGGGAGCAAACAGAAUUAGAAACCCGGGUAGUCC